UUGCCAGACUCCUACGGGAGGCAGCAGUGGGGAAUAUUGCACAAUGGGGGAAACCCUGAUGCAGCGACGCCGCGUGAGUGAAGAAGUAUUUCGGUAUGUAAAGCUCUAUCAGCAGGGAAGAAAAUGACGGUACCUGAUUAAGAAGCCCCGGCUAACUACGUGCCAGCAGCCGCGGUAAUACGGAGGAUGCGAGCGUUAUCCGGAUUUAUUGGGUUUAAAGGGUGCGUAGGCGGGCUGUUAAGUCAGCGGUAAAAGCCCGGGGCUCAACCCCGGCGAGCCGUUGAAACUGGCUGUCUUGAGAUGUCGAGAGGUAUGCGGAAUGCGCAGUGUAGCGGUGAAAUGCUUAGAUAUUGCGCAGAACUCCGAUUGCGAAGGCAGCAUACCGGCGGCGAUCUGACGCUGAGGCACGAAAGCGUGGGUAUCGAACAGGAUUAGAUACCCCCGUAC
This 447-nucleotide ribosomal RNA is filed under the name uncultured bacterium. RNAcentral's name for it is "bacterial SSU rRNA". It matches the Rfam family "Bacterial small subunit ribosomal RNA", at positions 328 to 793 of the family's 1533-position model. The record is from RNAcentral.